GAGUUUGAUCUUGGCUCAGGAUGAACGCUGGCGGCGUGCUUAACACAUGCAAGUCGAGCGAAGCAUUUAAGUGGAUUCCUUCGGGAUGAAGGUUUUAUGACUUAGCGGCGGACGGGUGAGUAACGCGUGGGCAACCUGCCCCAUACCGGGGGAUAACAGCCGGAAACGGCUGCUAAUACCGCAUAAGCGCACGGUACCGCAUGGUACAGUGUGAAAAACUCCGGUGGUAUGGGAUGGGCCCGCGUUGGAUUAGCUAGUUGGCAGGGUAAAGGCCUACCAAGGCGACGAUCCAUAGCCGGCCUGAGAGGGUGGACGGCCACAUUGGGACUGAGACACGGCCCAAACUCCUACGGGAGGCAGCAGUGGGGAAUAUUGCACAAUGGGGGAAACCCUGAUGCAGCGACGCCGCGUGAAGGAAGAAGUAUCUCGGUAUG
RNAcentral lists this ribosomal RNA (434 nucleotides) under uncultured bacterium. Its description in RNAcentral is "bacterial SSU rRNA". It matches the Rfam family "Bacterial small subunit ribosomal RNA", at positions 9 to 425 of the family's 1533-position model. The record is from RNAcentral.